GAUUGUGAAAGUGAGACCUGUCGCAUCAUUGAUCAGGAUUGAUUCCACUGAUCUGACUGACUAGACAGGUACCUCCUUCCCCCCUCACUGCCCCAGGUGCUCCCCUCCUGAAGGUGCACUCUGGGUCAAAAAGAACGAUCAUUCCUGAUACAGUAAUACCUCUUACUCAGGCAAGGGCAUAAGAAUAGCAGCUCCACUACUAGAAAUUCAAAACAAGCUCUCAAGGUCUGAUAACAGAUUAUAUCUGUUCACCUGUAGAAUAUUUCAAAUGCUUCCAAAUUCUUGGUAACAAUUAACACAAUUGUUGUAAAUAUCUGCAUGCUGGAUUUU
Molecule: unclassified non-coding RNA, 330 nt
Organism: Cavia porcellus (domestic guinea pig)
Lineage: Eukaryota; Metazoa; Chordata; Mammalia; Rodentia; Caviidae
Gene: 7SK
Rfam family: 7SK RNA
About the family: 7SK was discovered as an abundant small nuclear RNA in the mid-70s but a possible function has only recently been suggested. Two independent studies have found that 7SK RNA binds the CDK9/cyclin T complex (known as elongation factor P-TEFb). P-TEFb activates transcription by phosphorylating the C-terminal domain of RNA polymerase II.
Source: Ensembl